AGCCACUUCAUUGGGGAGUAGCCGCCUUUUACGCAAGUUAAAAGGGUGAUGGUCAACAUAUUUGCUCAACCGAGCAUGGUCAUCAUAGCAAAGAACCAAAUGAGCUUAUUUAAAGCUUAUUUUUGUUGGCAAGACCUUUGAU
RNAcentral lists this small RNA (142 nucleotides) under Acinetobacter sp. Its description in RNAcentral is "Manganese sequence". The stretch from base 8 to 127 matches the Rfam family "Manganese Mn2+ riboswitch aptamer (yybP-ykoY)". From Rfam's summary of the family: This RNA was originally discovered in E. coli during a large scale screen and was named SraF. Lineage: Bacteria; Pseudomonadati; Pseudomonadota; Gammaproteobacteria; Moraxellales; Moraxellaceae. The record is from RNAcentral.